Molecule: ribosomal RNA, 459 nt
Filed under: uncultured bacterium
Lineage: Bacteria
Description: partial 16S ribosomal RNA
Rfam family: Bacterial small subunit ribosomal RNA
Source: RNAcentral
CCUACGGGAGGCAGCAGUGAGGAAUAUUGGUCAAUGGGCGGGAGCCUGACCCAGCCAAGCCGCGUGAGGGAAGAAGGUACAGCGUAUCGUAAACCUCUUUUGUCAGGGCACAAAAGCGGGGACUAGUCCCCGGAUGAGGGUACCUGAUGAAAAAGCAUCGGCUAACUCCGUGCCAGCAGCCGCGGUAAUACGGAGGCUCCGAGGGGUAUCCGGAUUUAUUGGGUUUAAAGGGAGCGGAGGUGGAUUGUUAAGUCAGUUGUGAAAGUUUGCGGCUCAAACGUGAAAUUGCAGUUUAAACUGGCAGUCUUGAGUACAGUAGAGGUGGGCGGAAUUCGUGGUGUAGCGGUGAAAUGCUUAGAUAUCACGAAGAACUCCGAGUGCGAAGGCAGUUCACUGGACUGCAACUGACACUGAGGCUCGAAAGUGUGGGUAUCAAACAGGAUUAGAUACCCCAUAGUC